CAACCAGGGCUCAUUUGAAGCUGUCUGAGCUGAGGCCAGGGCUCAGACCAGCUCAGCCAGCAGUAGCCCCACUCAUGAAUGGAUAGGGAUGGACAAGGCAAGGCUGCCCUCUAUCACCUCUCUUAUUUGUGCUGGCAGUUGAGGCACUGGCUGAAGUGAUUAGACAACACUCGGAUAUCCAAGAGAAUCUGCAACAACUCUGUCACAAAGCUCUCAUAAUCUUUCUGUUAGCAGCUGUGAAAAUGGAGAUUGCGCACCACUGGAAUGAUAGUUCUGUUUUUACAUUAGAAGGUUGGUGGAGCAAAGUUUGAACUAUUAUGUUACAAGAAAAAGCUGAUUCAAUGUAGUUGAUUAAAUAGGAGGAUGAUAAAAUCUGUUAAGCUUGAAUCUGCAUGAUGGCCUUUUUUAACUUACCUUACCUCUCUGGAGUGUACCACUCACUCUCCAGACAGUCACUUACCUUUCUGGUCAGAUCAUCUCUCACGUUAUUAAAGGUUAUUUAAUGUAUAAAUCUGUGUACUCUCCAUAUACAAGCAUACUGUCUCCCACUUGAGAAAGUAUUAUAUGCAUUUAUUGAGACAUGUUUUUUGGUUACGCAUAGAUUGUUACUU
This is a long non-coding RNA of Rhineura floridana, 611 nucleotides long. RefSeq lists it as uncharacterized. NCBI's taxonomy places the organism in Eukaryota, Metazoa, Chordata, Lepidosauria, Squamata, Rhineuridae. The transcript is spliced from 4 exons. The record is from RefSeq and is a predicted model, not a curated record.